This is a small nuclear RNA of 125 nucleotides. Its record names the gene U1. It matches the Rfam family "U1 spliceosomal RNA". From Rfam's summary of the family: U1 is a small nuclear RNA (snRNA) component of the spliceosome (involved in pre-mRNA splicing). Its 5' end forms complementary base pairs with the 5' splice junction, thus defining the 5' donor site of an intron. There are significant differences in sequence and secondary structure between metazoan and yeast U1 snRNAs, the latter being much longer (568 nucleotides as compared to 164 nucleotides in human). The record is from Ensembl.
AUACUUACCUGGCAGGAUAGAUACCAUGAUCAAGAAGGCGGUUCUCUCAGGGCGAGGCUCAGCCACUGCACUCCGUCUGUGCUGACUCCUGCGAAUUCCCCAAAUGUGGGAAUCUCGACUGGAGC